This is a long non-coding RNA of Antechinus flavipes (yellow-footed antechinus), 247 nucleotides long. RefSeq lists it as uncharacterized. The record is from RefSeq and is a predicted model, not a curated record. The transcript is spliced from 2 exons. NCBI's taxonomy places the organism in Eukaryota, Metazoa, Chordata, Mammalia, Dasyuromorphia, Dasyuridae.
AGUUGUCCCUGAUUAGAAGCCACAUUGGCUUUUGUUUGUUUUUCUCCUAGUGGGUGGAAAGCUGCUCUCUCUCCUGUGAUAUUUACCAUGAGCUCGCUGGCCAGCCUAGGCCCGUUCACUCACAGAACCUCCCAGAGUCCGCAGGAUGGACCUCAUGGACUCUCCUAGCAGGCUGGACUCUGCAGAGAGACAUCUGCCACUUUGAGUGUUGAGCUUUGCAUGCUGGGCUGAAUUUCUCAGAGGUAUG